AGAGUUUGAUCCUGGCUCAGAUUGAACGCUGGCGGCAGGCCUAACACAUGCAAGUCGAGCGGUAGAGAGAAGCUUGCUUCUCUUGAGAGCGGCGGACGGGUGAGUAAUGCCUAGGAAUCUGCCUGGUAGUGGGGGAUAACGUCCGGAAACGGACGCUAAUACCGCAUACGUCCUACGGGAGAAAGCAGGGGACCUUCGGGCCUUGCGCUAUCAGAUGAGCCUAGGUCGGAUUAGCUAGUUGGUGGGGUAAUGGCUCACCAAGGCGACGAUCCGUAACUGGUCUGAGAGGAUGAUCAGUCACACUGGAACUGAGACACGGUCCAGACUCCUACGGGAGGCAGCAGUGGGGAAUAUUGGACAAUGGGCGAAAGCCUGAUCCAGCCAUGCCGCGUGUGUGAAGAAGGUCUUCGGAUUGUAAAGCACUUUAAGUUGGGAGGAAGGGCAGUAAGCUAAUACCUUGCUGUUUUGACGUUACCGACAGAAUAAGCACCGGCUAACUCUGUGCCAGCAGCCGCGGUAAUACAGAGGGUGCAAGCGUUAAUCGGAAUUACUGGGCGUAAAGCGCGCGUAGGUGGUUUGUUAAGUUGGAUGUGAAAGCCCCGGGCUCAACCUGGGAACUGCAUCCAAAACUGGCAAGCUAGAGUACGGUAGAGGGUGGUGGAAUUUCCUGUGUAGCGGUGAAUGCGUAGAUAUAGGAAAGGAACACCAGUGGCGAACGCGACCACCUGGACUGAUACUGACACUGAGGUGCGAAGCGUGGGGAGCAAACAGGAUUAGAUACCCUGGUAGUCCACGCCGUAAACGAUGUCAACUAGCCGGUUGGAAUCUUGAGCUCUUAGUGGCGCAGCUAACGCAUUAAGUUGACCGCCUGGGGAGUACGGCCGCAAGGUUAAAACUCAAAUGAAUUGACGG
RNAcentral lists this ribosomal RNA (912 nucleotides) under uncultured bacterium. RNAcentral's name for it is "bacterial SSU rRNA". It matches the Rfam family "Bacterial small subunit ribosomal RNA", at positions 8 to 916 of the family's 1533-position model. The record is from RNAcentral.